GUGAUCAUCUUACUGAAAUAUGCCAUCUUUACUUUCGCUUCCCGCACCCAGUCCUGUGUGGAUGCUAGGCUCGGGCUAGCGCUGGAUUUACUUAGAAAACAGACCAUAAAAGAGGUAUUUAGACACUAAAGUUAACUGCAAACGUUACGGAAGUAGACAGGAAUCAUCAGACAUCUUUGAACCACGUAGAAAUCGAUAUUCCGGCUGCUUUUUUUUUUUUUUUGAGGACUCUCUUCAGUGGGACUUCGAUCUCCAUCCAUCUGCCACUGUGUGUUGCUGUCUAUCCACGUCCACAUCUCCAUCACGCUGGGAUCGGCCAUCACCUCGGACCAUCUCGUUGGACGUUCAUUAUAAGGGGGAGAUAUUCAGUAUCAGUGUGGUGGAACAUCAUAAAAGCCCUGAAUACACCUGUAGUUGUGUAAAAGUUCUGUAUUUGAAGGAUUGCCAGGCCUAAAUGUCACUGAAUAUCAGUGCAAAGUUCAGGUAUGUAAGGAAAGAACCACAUUUAUUUCGCUUUCACCAACAGCAACA
Molecule: long non-coding RNA, 531 nt
Organism: Amphiprion ocellaris (clown anemonefish)
Lineage: Eukaryota; Metazoa; Chordata; Actinopteri; Pomacentridae
Source: Ensembl